RNAcentral lists this unclassified non-coding RNA (175 nucleotides) under uncultured Geastrum. RNAcentral describes it as "sequence contains ITS2". The record is from RNAcentral. Lineage: Eukaryota; Fungi; Basidiomycota; Agaricomycetes; Geastrales; Geastraceae.
AUAUCCUCAAUUUCAAUCUUUUUGUUUGAAAUUGGAUUUUGGACGUUGCUGUGAUCUCAGCUCGUCCUAAAUGCAUUAGCGAAUCUGCCUUGAUCACGCGCAAUGUGAUAAAACUAGAGCAUUGUUCCAGUCAAAUAGAGUCGCUUCUAAUCGUCGAAAGACAAAUACUUAUGUC